ACCACUCCUGACCCCUGACCAGUGACUUGUGUGUUAGGGUGGAGUCUACGCAGGUCCCUGACGAUCUGGUUCCUGCUUCUGCAGCUCUCUCUGCCAAGAGCUUCCUGUGUGGCCUGCACCACAGACCUCACAGUAUUCUCUAUGAGAAUUCCUUGGCAUAAUUUCCUACUUCCUUUUAAAGCAAUGGGAUUUUGGACAGAUUAUAUACUACCACCAAGGGUAUAAGGCUGAAAAGUUGGAAGAGCAGAAUCACCAAUUUAGUUUUUGGGACUCUGCUAUAAGUUUUUAUGUGAUUCUGAAAAUGUCACAUAAAUCCCAUGCUCUUCCUUAAGUCAUGAAUGUCCUCUGUAUGCCUGGCCUGUGCGUGGGUUGGGACAUGGAGGCCUAAAUAAAACAUUUUCUGUCCCCUGGAGGAAUGUAUAGUUUAGGGGGGGGAAAUAAAAACCUCAUUGGAUGGCUAAGGAUAAUAUGUAGACACACCUGUGAUGUUAAGUAUGCCAGGAAAGUAAUGAUUUAAAAGGAAUGUUUCUACCUUCUUUCCAAAAGUUAAUUUAAGUAUUUAUAUGCUAGUGAUAAAACGAGCCUUUUUUCUUUUUCAUACUCAUGAUAAACUCAUUGCUUUCCUUACUCUCCUAUUUAAAAAAAUUCAUAGUAAGUUAGUUCAGGCUCCCCCCAAACCCCCUCUGCCUUUCUGCUGCAAAUUAUAUUCUCUUCCCAGUCUAGCUGUGCCAGGCACCCUGGUCGGUUUGCCUGUCUCAGAGUCCUCUUAGUUCCUUUGCAUUUCCAUUUUCACUUUAGUAUCAGCUUCCUACUUCUGUAAUGUUCAGCAAGGAUUUUGCCAGAUGUUUUGUUGAAUCUGUAGAUAAGCUUGGAGUUAAUUUGUAACUGGUAUCUUCUAUUCUUGAAUACCAAGUACUUCUCAUUCUCAAAAACAAUAUUCUUUAACAACUCAAGAACAUUUUGUGAGAUGGGCAGUGGUGGCACAUACCUUUAAUCCCAGCACUCAGGAGGCAGAGGUUGGAGCAUCUGUGAGCUCAAAACCAGCCUGGUCUGGAGAGUGAGUUCCAGCAUAGCCAAGUCUACACAGAGAAGCCCUAUCUCAAAAAAAAAAAAAAAAAAAAAAAAAAAAAAAAAGAAAGAAAGAAAAAGAAAAAAAAGAAAGUUUUCUCCGGGUAUAACCUGGCACCACUUAUUAUGUAAAGAAUAGUUCCAAAUAUUUUUUUAAUUUAUUUUUAUUUUAUGUGUAUGAGUAUUUUGCCUGCAUGUGUGUCUGUGUACCAUAAAUGUGCAGUGCCUACAGACACCAGAAGAGAGUGUUGGACCCUCUGGAACUGCAGUUUGUGAGCUCCUGUGUGGAUGCUGGGAAUCAGACCCUGGUCCUCUGCAAGAACAGCAGAUACUCUUAAAUUGCCGAGUUGUUUCCAAAUAUUUGAUAUUGUCUGAAAUUGUUACCAAUGGAACACUUAUUUAGAGGUUCAACUGGUUUUCUUUAUAUUGAUUUUGCUCUUUGACUUGUGGCAUAUUUCUACUAUUUCUAGAGCAUAGUUUUUAAAAAAAAUAGAGGCAUUAGGAAGAUUAGAUAAAACCCUAGAUAAUUAGGAAUUUUUGACAUCAGCAUCAUGCUGUUGCUAAACAUGGGAUUCAGGAGCCUGAGACACUUUCCUUGGUGUCCUGCCUUCUUUCCCACCCCAUCCAGUCCUCUGUGUUUUCCUACUAGGAUGAUCUUGUAGGGCUCCCUCCUUUAUUCUACUAAUAAUAGCUUAACCACAUGUGUUGGUUUUUGGUAUGGAAAGCCAAGUUUGCAUUUACUCUGUCUUUAUAUGCUGUUCUCUUGACGUGUUGCAUGGUACGGUGUACUGUUAGUUUGUGAACAUUUACACAUUGGUGACCCUGAGACUGGCUUAUAGGCAGUGUUUUUACACUUGUGUCUCCGGUGUUGCUUUCUGGGUGAUAGAGCUGCCUUACCGUACCUUUUCUUUCAAGAUUGAAGAACUAACUUUAGUCUUUCUUGAAAUGUAGACCGGCUUCUAUCUUGAUUUUUCUGGGAGUGAGUUUAGUUGACCUACAUGGAGAAGAAUAGGCUUAUGAAAGUUGGCUGACAAUUUGUACCCAUUAUCCUUUGAGUGUGUCUCUGCAUGACUCAUAAUGAGCAUGGGGGUCAUUUUGGUUCUGUGCACAGCACUGUUCUUUUGCUCUUUUGCUGUGUCUUGUGUUUGGUUUUGAGCAGUUUGUCCAUCACGUGCCUGUCAUGACUGAAAUGAGUACACUGCCGUUCCGUGUGGGAUGUUUUCAGUUGUUAUUUCUUUGAGUUAUUCUUUCUCUUCCUUCCCUUCACCCAUUCAGUCGCACCCUUAAGUGCAUCUUGGCUCCUGUCCUGCUGCUGUGGGUUUGUUUUCCUUCCUCCUUUCUCUGUUUGUCAGGCAGGGGUGUUUAAAGGGCCUGAUCAGGUUCCCUGGUCCUGCCCCCACCAUCUCAGUUCUGCUGGGCAGCUUCUCCAGCCAACCUGCAUAGCAGUGACUUCACUUUCCACCUAUCUUUUGCAAGUGUAACAUCUGGGUCCUCUUCCACAUAGUUACCUUUGCCUGCUUGGCCUCUACAAGGGUGGUUCACAUUUUCUUUGUAUGUCUCUUUAUUCAUGGUCUUUGAAAAUGCUGGCAUUUGAAUAAGGUGCCAAAGCAGGUAUUAAUUCUGAGCACUUUGCUUCCAAGGAAGCUGCUGUUGCUGCUAUUUUGUCUUCUAUUUCUCUUAUAAUUAUGUUCAACUGAACCCACGGACUCUGUGCCCUUCAAACUUCCUAGUGGGCAACAUGUGUAUUUAGGUCUUCCUAUUGUGCUUUAUAGGUUUUUCUGUCCUUCUAGAAGACAACAUAGCUUAGUUGUCACUCUCAGUUGUCCAGAGGCCAUGUGUGCUCAGGGCCUGUUUAAUGUGAUUUCUCUGUUGGCAUGCAUUAUCGAAUUCAGAGAGGCCCAUGUUAAUUGGCGUGCCGAUCCUGCUGGUAUAACCUGGAGUCACCUCUGCAAAGAUGCACUGUCAGGCAGAUAAGCAGGAGAGCCUAUCAGGGUCUUGCCUGCUCCUCUCUGGGCUCUAUCAUGGUGUCCUCUGUUGAGCUGUAUGUUGCUUCCCUGGACAUGGUAGCAUCAGGUGUGCUGGUUUGCUGUUCUCCCUCAUUCAUUCUGUGGUACAUUUUACUGCUGUAGAUGCUGCUGCUGUCAUGGGGGACUUUACCCUUCAUUCCAGAACACAGCACAGGAGCUCCUCCCCAGCAGAGCGAUGGCUGAGGAGGAGGGAUGGUCUUCCCGAUGGCUGAGGAGGAGGGAUGGUCUUCCCGAUGGCUGAGGAGGAGGGAUGGGCUUCCUAGCAACAGUGCGUGCCACAGACUCGACUUCUCUAACCUGCAAUUUAGCUAUUUUUUUCAUGAGUGAUUUUACUGUGUUCUUGUUUUGCUGUGUGGCUUGAAUCCGUUCUGAGACUCCUUACAUGGUGUCUUUGAGCCGUUUUCAUCCCCUUGUUCUUUUUUUUUUUAAAAAAUAUAUAUUUGUAUUAGAUAUUUUCUUUAUUUACAUUUCGUAUGCUAUCCCAAAAGUCCCCUAUACCCUCCCCCCCCCCCCCCGCCAUCCUCCCCUACCCACCCACUCCCACUUCUUGGCCCUGGUGUUCCCCUGUACUGGGGCAGAUAAAGUUUGCAAGACCUAGAGGCCUCGCUUCCCAAUGAUAGCCGACUAGGCCAUCUUCUGCUACAUAUGCAGCUAGAGACCCGAGCUCCGGGAGUACUAGUUAGUUCAUAUUGUUGUUCCACCUUGUUCUUUUUAAGGACACUUUCCUCACUCAGUCAAAAAAGCCAUCUCUACUUCUUAGUGUAUGGUUCUUAAAAUGUAUGGAAUUUGUGUGAUUUUUUUCCUGUGAGCAUAUGUCCAGUUUCAUGAUACUAUUUUAUUUCCACAUUGUUUGUGUAUUCCAGAGUUUAUUUAGCUGCUCUUCAAAUAAUGAGUGUUAAUAUUAUUUCCUAUAUAUAUAUAUAAUGUCUACAAGGAUGCCAGAAAAACCUUGAACAUAAAGGUUGUGAUAUUUUGGCAAAUAAUUGUGAAUACUAAGUUAUUGUCAGUGAAGACAUUGAAUUCCAAUGUUACUUUGCAUUGUUGUGAUUGUUCUUUUAACAUUUUUUGACUGUGUGGGUAUGGUGUGUGAGUGUGUGCUGUGUGAGUGCCAUAGACAACUUGCAAGAAUGAGUUCUGUCUUUCCACUGUAUGGGUACCAGGGAUUGAACUCAGGUCAGCCAUCCAGAUGGCAGACACUUUUGUCCUUAGAGGCAGGUCACCAGUCUAGACUUUGGAGUUAACUUUUAAUGAGUCACUUCAAAACCUUUCCCACUUUCUCCAGGCUCACAUAACAGACUAAACUCACUGGGUAGCAAAGUGCACACAUAAUUGUGUGUACAUGAGUACACACAACACACAUGCACGUGCAUGCACGACCACAAUUCUUUUUUUUUUUUGAAAGAUUUCAUUUAUUUCAUGUAUGUGAAUACACCGUCAUUAUACUCAGACACACCAGAAGAGGGCAUUCGAUCCCAUUGCUGUGGUUGUGAGCCACCAUGUGGUUGCUGGGAACUGAACUCAGGACCUCUGGAAGAGCAGUCAGUUCUCUUAACCACUGAGCCAUCUCUCCAGCCCCCCAUGACUACAAUUCUAAUUUCCUUUCUACUCUGGACUAUUGGCAAAGAGUAUAUGUUUCAGUAUUUUUAUUUUUCACAUAGAGAGAGUUUUAAGUGAGUCUGUAAGCUCUCAUGCAUGGCUCCAGUGUAAUUAUGGUUGAUUCGUACCUGCCCAUCUGACAUUACAAGAGUAAACCACCUAAAACAUUCUAAAAUUGCCUUACACAUGCCUAUACAUUUAGUCAUUUAAUAUCUGUGUAUUUUAAAAUAUUUUCACCAAGCUGAUAUUUAAAGUGGGCUCCACUGUAACAGGGAACCUAACUUAGAACAGGUGAUUUUAACUUCAGUUUUCUAAACUUUUCCUGGAGUCUAAAUAGUGCUUCAGCCAUGAUCUUUUGAUCGAAUCUAUUUUUAGCAUCUAUAACUGAGUAUCACACCUCCUAACAAUUUUCUACAGGGAAGUACUAGCAUUUUUUCUAGCACAUUUUAUUUAGAAUGUGCUUUGCAAAUUAUUUAUUAAUCUUCACACAUUUGUAGCAAAAUGGCUGAUAAGAUCUUAGCAGCCUUAUUUUAGACAGUUGGAGUGACAGACCCAUGCGGAUGACAGCUCUGAGGCACCGAGCCUCAGAGAAGUCUGGGGGAGGGUCUGUGUGCACCAGUCCCACCCACGCUCCGAGUUCACCUGCUAAGGACCGAGGUUUUCAUCCUCCGUCCUGUUCCUUUCCUACAGAUGGUAUAUUACAGCAUUCUUCUCCACGGUGCCCACGGGAUUCCUCUAAUUCCAUGGUGCCUACUUAUUUGUUUCCUUGAUAUUUGGGGAAGUCAGGAAGAAAAGACAAAUUCUUAGUUGUAAAUAUAGUGUUUCUUUGAGAUUUUUUAAUUCGGGAUAUAAAUACUUCACCUGAAUUCCCUGUUUAUGCUGAAAUGUGCUCAUGAUUUUCCAGUUUGUGGUCCCCUGAUGACCGUGAGCCUGUGACAACGCCAGCAGUGAGUGCCUCUUUGCAGCCAAAUAUCACAAAAAGCUCCUGCCUUCGCUGCUCUCACUGAGACCGAUUCCAUGUCUUCCUUCUCCAUCCAUCUGCUAUGGCCUGGAAUUCACUAUAGCCUAGGCUGGCCUUGAACUCAGGAUAGCCCAUCUGCCUUAGCUAGGAUCUCUGGUCUCUGGAAUUUAAUACUCUGAGUCUUUUUUCCCUCCCUGUGUGUGAAGCUUUGGGCCACCCCUCUGAUGACUCGAUCUCCAGUCCUCAGAUGGCCCCGCCCCUCUUAGAGAGAAGCUCCAUUGGCUGUUGUGCAGCUAAGUUACUCUUUCCUCUUUGAUUGUUAAUGUUUCUUUUUUAUUACAAAGUAGUGAUGGUAAAGUUUUAUCUGUUUAUUCUGUGUUUUUGUUAAUUAUCAAAUGGAGUUGAGGAUCAUUACAAAGAAAGAGAAAGGAAGCAAGAUAGAGUCCUAGUUUCAGAGUUUAACAUGUAGGAAAAA
Mus musculus (house mouse) is the source of this 6127-nucleotide long non-coding RNA. RefSeq annotates it as predicted gene, 31550. The transcript is spliced from 2 exons. NCBI's taxonomy places the organism in Eukaryota, Metazoa, Chordata, Mammalia, Rodentia, Muridae. The record is from RefSeq and is a predicted model, not a curated record.